This 1107-nucleotide long non-coding RNA is filed under the name Mus caroli (Ryukyu mouse). Its description in RNAcentral is "lncRNA (MGP_CAROLIEiJ_G0002991.1)". The record is from RNAcentral. Lineage: Eukaryota; Metazoa; Chordata; Mammalia; Rodentia; Muridae.
GCAAGAAGCACAGCACCGCCAGUUACCACGCAGACAUCCUGGAGAACUGAGCCCACCACCUACCAGAGGUAGUGGAAAAGAAAGGACAUGGGGGAAGUGGACCUGUUUAGAAAUGGUUCUUUGGAGCAAAUCCCAUCUGUGUUGUCAGGAAAUCGGCAGUUUGGUUUACAGGUCAGCAACAGCAGCUUGAUCCACUUGCAAACACUUCACAGACACACCAGCAGUCCAGUUCGGGAGAGUUGGAAGAGCAAACACAAAUCAGCAGUGGUGGCAUGACCUAACAGGAACAGCCAGGCCUCAGCCAGAUCAGCACAAGUCUGCAGGAGGGACCAGAACCAACAGGGACACCAGGAGUUCUUUGCUGUGCCUCUCUCAGUGAAGCAAAGAUCAUCAAAGAUGAGAGACCAAGAAGUAUUGCAGAGCUAGCUCUACAAGCAAGCCCUUCUCAGUCCUAUUUACACUCCCUCCAAAAAUCACAUGCUCUCCACAGCUCUUGCCUCAGCAUGUGAGUCUGUCUUAGCCAAACUCCACGAGUCUGUAUCAGCUGACAUCACUCUGCCAGUUGACCCAAGUCCUCAGAACCUGCAAGAAGUCGCAGCAUACCACCAGAAGGGUUUUUGGUGUAUUUCGAUUUCUGGAGUCCUGACAAAUGGCGCUCAACUACAAUUUAAGGCGGACCAAUACUUGUGUGUUGUUAAUGAAGAAUUCUUCACCAUGUGUCCUUUCACGUGCUUGCUUUAGCAGAACAUCGUUUCACCCGUGUCUGCUUCAGUGAAACAUUCCUUCACAAGUCUGCCUUAGCGAAACAUCCUUUCACCUGUGUCCACUUCAGGGAAACACUCCUUCACGUGUUUGUCCCAGCAAAACACCAUCCAACACAACUGACUUUCCAAAGAACCCUUCAAUCUACAAAAAAAAAGAAGACUCAGAAACCACCUUAGAAAUGCAUCUCACAAAAUACCUGCAAGGCCAUUAGAAAACUACAGAAAGAUUUUAAACAUAUGUCUGAAAAUAUCCUAAAUAUCCUAAAGACACAUUUCUUUCCCCAGAAGUAAUCUAUAUAUGUAAUAUGAUUCCAAAUAAAAAUUCAACAGGGUCUUUAAAAAU